AUUGAACGCUGGCGGCAUGCCUUACACAUGCAAGUCGAACGGCAGCACGGGGGGUAACCCCUGGUGGCGAGUGGCGAACGGGUGAGUAAUAUAUCGGAACGUGUCCUGUAGCGGGGGAUAACCUAUCGAAAGAUGGACUAAUACCGCAUACGACCUACGGGUGAAAGCGGAGGACCGCAAGGCUUCGCACUAUAGGAGCGGCCGAUAUCGGAUUAGCUAGUUGGCGGGGUAACGGCCCACCAAGGCGACGAUCCGUAGCUGGUCUGAGAGGACGAUCAGCCACACUGGACCUGAGACACGGUCCAGACUCCUACGGGAGGCAGCAGUGGGGAAUUUUAGACAAUGGGCGCAAGCCUGAUCCAGCCAUGCCGCGUGAGUGAAGAAGGCCUUCGGGUUGUAAAGCUCUUUCGGCGGGGACGAAACGGUUCGUGCUAAUACCCCGGACUACUGACGGUACCCGCAGAAGAAGCACCGGCUAACUACGUG
RNAcentral lists this ribosomal RNA (486 nucleotides) under uncultured bacterium. Its description in RNAcentral is "partial 16S ribosomal RNA". It matches the Rfam family "Bacterial small subunit ribosomal RNA", at positions 29 to 507 of the family's 1533-position model. The record is from RNAcentral.